Molecule: ribosomal RNA, 468 nt
Filed under: uncultured bacterium
Lineage: Bacteria
Description: partial 16S ribosomal RNA
Rfam family: Bacterial small subunit ribosomal RNA
Source: RNAcentral
GACGAACGCUGGCGGCGUGCUUAACACAUGCAAGUCGAACGGAAAGGCCCUGCUUUCGUGGGGUGCUCGAGUGGCGAACGGGUGAGUAACACGUGAGUAACCUGCCCUUGACUUUGGGAUAACUUCAGGAAACUGGGGCUAAUACCGGAUAGGAGCUCCUGCUGCAUGGUGGGGGUUGGAAAGUUUCGGCGGUUGGGGAUGGACUCGCGGCUUAUCAGCUUGUUGGUGGGGUAGUGGCUUACCAAGGCUUGGACGGGUAGCCGGCCUGAGAGGGUGACCGGCCACAUUGGGACUGAGGUACGGCCCAGACUCCUACGGGAGGCAGCAGUGGGGAAUAUUGCACAAUGGGCGGAAGCCUGAUGCAGCAACGCCGCGUGCGGGAUGACGGCCUUCGGGUUGUAAACCGCUUUCGCCUGUGACGAAGCGUGAGUGACGGUAAUGGGUAAAGAAGCACCGGCUAACUACGUG